This 2176-nucleotide long non-coding RNA is filed under the name Nicotiana tabacum (common tobacco). RNAcentral describes it as "long non-coding RNA (NTAB_LNC003290)". The record is from RNAcentral. Lineage: Eukaryota; Viridiplantae; Streptophyta; Magnoliopsida; Solanales; Solanaceae.
GAAUAGAAAAAAAUAGAGUGAGAGGGGAAUUGGGCGGAAUUAGAGAAAUAUAUGAAGGGACGGUGAGGAGAACGGACAGAGUUCAAGAGGAGAGAGCGGAAAAACCGAGUAUUGGAAAUUCCCUAGAGCUGUAGACUCUCAUCCUCACCGUAACUAAUUAUGUUUUUCCUUCUCAAUCCAGCUUCUCCAUAAAAAAUCAUCAUUAAAUAAACACCAUCCAACUACAACUAGUAAAUCUCAUAAAAACCCAGUAACACCACCUUGAAUAAAGAUUGGUAACCAUUAUUUCCCCCACCGCCAUGUGAAUCACCUACAACACCAGCAUCUUUCCCCUUCAUUGUUAGCUAGCCAAAUCCUUUGAGUUGAAACUUGGGGUAUUCAGAUCUAAAAAAAAGAAGUCGAGUCAGUUGAAGUCUUUCGUUAGAGGUUCUGGCCGCCGGUUCUAUUUGUUUGCCACGAGGUUCAAUACAUUUGGUUGAUUUUCUAAAGAGAUUUUCAGCAGCUUCAUAAGGUCUGCUCUCAUCUUACUUUUGUUGAUUUAUUUUUCAAUAAUUUAGUGUUGAAAUUGCUUGUUAUUAAUUCUCUGUUGAAUUUCGUGUUAGAUUAAAAUGUGAAAAUGCUUCUGCUUGUUUGUUUUAGUUUUAAUAUAAGAUGAAGAGGGUUAAAUUACAGCAACUCAUUUGAAUUUAAGUGUUUAGAUGCUAUUCUAAAAUAAAGAAUAUUAGUUAGAGUAUAUUGGAAAUAAAAUGACGUAAAGCAUUGAUGCAAAAUUUUAGAGUAACAAGGUGUGUCGUGGGGUUCGGGAAUUAAAAAGUAAAAAUUAAUUUAUUAAUUUGAUCGCUAGGAGCAUAUUUAGGUCGUAACUUGGCUAGGCAAAUCUUAGGUUUUCUUUAUUUUAUUUUUAUUCGAGGCGAGAGGUCGUUCCCUUUAGUUCAUAUUUAGGGAAAUGCCCUGUAGACUUUGUAUAUAUUUUUAUCCGGGGUAUGCCCCGUAGUAUCAUGUAUUUGGAGGCCGUGACAAACCUCAUGGAAAAGUAUAGUAUAUAUUAGUAUUUAGGAUUUUACUUUACUUUUCUUUUUCUAUUUUUUUUAUUAGGUGGGGACGACCUCGAUCCUUUCUUGUGUUUACUUUCCUUUUUCUGUGUUUUAACCUCAAUUUGAAUAUUUUAAAAGCUAACUGGAUCAUAUAUACAAUCGUGAUUUUCACGGGACUCGGGGAAUGUCUAACACCUUCUUCCCAAAUUAAAUGAACCCCCUUAUCUAGAAUCUCUAGUGCAGACUAUGUUUUAGAGUCUAAAUGUGUUUUCAAAAGGAAAAUCAUUUUUUAACGGUGACCUGGUACACCGAAAUCAAAUGUCAGGUGGCGACUCUGAAAAUCCUUUGAAACACAUCUUUUGUCACUUUCUAAUUGAAAAUCCUUUUGAGCUUCAAAAAUCCUUUUAUCUAUUUUUAAAAGGUAUUGAGUGUGAAAAAAGGGGUGUGACACCCCCUAGGCGAAAAAGUUCUACUUGGGUUAAGCUACGUAAAGCAAGCCUGGGCGAAGAGUACUUCUACCCGAAACUAUGAGCUGAAUCCCCCUAGGUAAAAAGUUUCUACAUGGGUUAAGCUACGAAAAUGGGAGGUAUGAACAGUAGUGAUGCAUGCUGCAAAUAAACAAAAAUGGAGAUUUUAAGGAGCUUAUAUUUGAUGAUAUUCGUCCUUUGAGAAUCGCCAUUCUGCACUGCUUUGAUCCUGUUUCAAACAAAGAAAAAUUUGUGAGUUUUUAAAGUGUUGGUCGGUUUGUGGCCUUGAUGUCCUGAGUUGUUUGAAUUCACAGCCACUCUGCUGUCGAAGAACUGAUUUUGUCAGUGUGGUACCGAGGUUCUCGGCUACUCUGUAUCGCUUUCUGGAGACAUUGUCUUUCUGACGUUGCCCCUGGCUGUUUCAUACCCAGAUGUCCAUGGUACCGCUAAUCCUUAUGCCUAAGGCAAGGCAAUUUUCCUUUAAAAUCAAACUUAGUUGUCUAAACAAAAGGUGUCCCUUUCGGGGAGAGGAAUAUGGAGACUUAUCUGGAGGCGUGUGCCGACUUCAAUUAAUCAUAACAUGCAUUUUGGACUGGACACCUGAUCCAUCUGAGCUCUCUAUUUCUCAAAAUCUGUCGCAAAUGUUCAUCUUAAAACUGUUUUGGUUGUGCUCAU